AAUAUGAAAACAAAAUUGUAAACAGAGUUCUAGAUAAUAAACAUUGAAGGUGGAAUAGCAAGCAUAUUUAAAAUGUCUUUUUAUUCAAAAUAUCUAUGAAUACAACUCAGGUUUUGGUGAAUUCUUUGUGCUGGAUAGGUUUUUGCUUUCAUUAGAAUAUACAUAAACUUGUUAAUUUUUCAGGCUGUACAUUUUGUAUAUCAAAAAUAGCUUUAAAGUUGAAAUAUUUAAUUGGAAGGAGGAUUCUUUUAAUUUUAGUAAUUUGGAGACAUCUUUCUUCUCCAAAUAUUAAAUGCUAGCGUUGUCUUAAAAUGUUGCAAUACUUUGAUUUUGAAUGACUUUAUUUAAACCUAUCACCUUGAACAUCUGAUAUUUUUAUUAUCUAGAGCUCUGUAAAAAAAAAAAAAAAAAUAUGUGAAAAAAAAAAAAAAAAAUAAUAUGAAAACAAAAUUGUAAACAGAGUUCUAGAUAAUAAACAUUGAAGGUGGAAUAGCAAGCAUAUUUGAAAUUUCUUUUUACUAAACUUGUUAAUUUUUCAGGCUGUACAUUUUGUAUAUCCAAAAUAGCUUUAAAGUUGAAAUAUUUAAUUGGAAGGAGGAUUCUUUUAAUUUUAGUAAUUUGGAGACAUCUUUCUUCUCCAAAUAUUAAAUGCUAGCGUUGUCUUAAAAUGUUGCAAUACUUUGAUUUUGAAUGACUUUAUUUAAACCUAUCACCUUUAACAUCUGUUAUUUUUAUUAUCUAGAGCUCUGUAAAAAAAAAAAAAAAAAAAUAAUAUGAAAACAAAAUUGUAAACAGAGUUCUAGAUAAUAAACAUUGAAGGUGGAAUAGCAAGCAUAUUUAAAAUUUCUUUUUAUUCAAAAUAUCUAUGAAUACAACUCAGGUUUUGCUGAAUUCUUUGUGCUGGAUAGGUUUUUGCUUUCAUUAGAAUAUACAUAAACUUGUUAAUUUUUCAGGCUGUACAUUUUGUAUAUCAAAAAUAGCUUUAAAGUUGAAAUAUUUAAUUGGAAGGAGGAUUCUUUUAAUUUUAGUAAUUUGGAGACAUCUUUCUUCUCCAAAUAUUAAAUGCUAGCGUUGUCUUAAAAUGUUGCAAUACUUUGAUUUUGAAUGACUUUAUUUAAACCUAUCACCUUUAACAUCUGAUAUUUUUAUUAUCUACAGCUCUGUAAAAAAAAAAAAAAAAAAUAUGUGAAAAAAAAAAAAAAUAACAAAAUUGUAAACAGAGUUCUAGAUAAUAAACAUUGAGGGUGGUUUUAAUUAAAAGUUGGCAUAUUUAAAAUUAUGUUUAUUAUUAUGUAUAGUGCACUGUAUAGUUUGUAAAUUUUUUAUUGUGAAGUAUUGGAAAAAUUGUGAAACUUUGGAACUGUGUUUAUAUGAGAUGUAUAUAUUCAGUCUUCAAUGGCAAUGGAGGACAAUAAAAAAUUGCUCUGAAGAAACUGACUUUUUAUAUAAAGAAAUAUCCAACAUAAGUGUUCAAUGAUAUCUAAAGAGAUGAAAGACUGAGAAAUACUAAAAGCUCAAAUUGAAGUUUUCUAUGAGAUUGGUGGAUUAAUUGCAUGAACAGUCAGACAACUGGCACACUUAUGCUAUAAGUAUAGCUUUUAAAAUAAAAUAAAGGACUUGUAUAAUAACAUUUAUGUUCUAUAAAGAAGAAAUGCUCCACAUAAUGUGCUAUAGAGAAGAUAUGUUCCAGGCCUACAUAUUGCUCUAUAGUGAAGACAGAUAUUAUAUAGCACAGACAGAUGUUCCUAAGUUGCACGAAGUAUUCAGAAGACAGACAGAUUCCUUUUACAAUGAAGUAUCUAGAACACAAAGCUUAUCAGAUUUUCAGCUCUCCAUUUCAUAUUCUGAUGUUUUCUUGAGAAAAAACUAAGAUUAAUUGUUCAUAUUCUUCCUGAAAACAGAAAUAUGUGAAAUUUUAGCUGGCGGAGAUAAUCAAUUGAGGAUUCUUUGCAAACUUGAUGACUUCAGAUUUCCUGUUCCAUACUUGUUCUAUAGAAAAUCCUAGGACUUUAGAGAAGAUUAUAUAAUCUAGAUUGAUGCAGCAUUGAAUAUCUAAAGAGAUUAGAAUGGACAAUAUUCUGAUUAAUUAAUGAUAGAUGUACAACAAAUUGUGCUACAAGGUUGAUAACCAGCAAAAUAAUUUGAUAGGAGUAAAACCAAAAGAGCAGGAUCUCCCCUCAUACAAGUUAGGAGGAACAAUUGAACUGAUGAACUUACAAAUAUAUGAAAGAAAGAAAAACAGACCACAUAGCAUAAGGAAAUAGACAGAUUAAAUCAUAGAGUAAAGGGAAAAAGAAACUAGCAACACUCUGAAAUUAUCACCAAUAUAGACAGAGGUUAUGUCUCUGAAAGUCUCAACUGAUGAUCAUAGAAACAUCUGAAGGUUAUACAAUAUGAGAAUAGCAGAACACAUGGAAUAAGGAAAGAGAAAAAUGAACUUGUAGACUAAAGGGUAGAUGAUAUUAGAAAAAUACUGAAAUUAACAAGAGAAACAAUCAACAAUAACCAUUUUAGAGGUUAGAGCUGACUCAAGGGAUGAACAUACAACAAAUUUUAACAUAUUUACAGCAUAGAAAAACAAUUAACACUUCCAAGACUUAUAUUCUUGUCAAUUAAAAUAUAUUAAUGAAAUUUCAUUAUAGUAUAUGGUCAGGGGGAGAGAGAGAGAGAAAGAUAUAGAAUGGAGGGAGAGGGAGAACACUUAUAAUGAUGAGUGGUGAGAGAGAAGAAACAAAUAUUGCAACUUGUAAAUUUGUCUUCAACCAAAACACAUGGCUUGCAUUGAUGUGUCUAACCUUAGACAUCUGAUAUUUUUAUUAUCCAGAGCUCUGUUAAAAAACAAUGUGAAAAAUAACAUGAAAACAAAAUUUAAACAGAGUUCUAGAUAAUAAACAUUAAGGAUGGUGUAAAUAGUGGGCAUACGGUAUUUAAAAAAAAAAUUUCACCAAUAUAUUUAUGAAAUUUUAAACUUAUAAUUGAGAAUGUUUAAUUAGACGUACAAUUCUUUUGAUUUUAGAUAUUUGGAGACGAAACCUGUUCUCCUCAAUUUAUUGUACUCUAAUAGUGUCAUAAAUUUGCAAUAUUCUUAUCCUUGCUUUAUAUACCUUGAACCUUAUACCUCCAAUAUUUUUAUUACCUAGAACUCUGUAUAAACAAAAAAUGUAAAAAAAAUAAAAAUGAAAAAAAAAUAAUAUGAAAACAAAAUUGUAAACAGAGUUCUAGAUAAUAAACAUUAAGGAUGGUGUAAAUAGUGAGUAUGCUUCAAAAUUCACACCGGGCAACCCCACCCAAAAUAUUUUUAUGAAAUUAAAUACGACAUAUAUUAUUGUGAAUGAUUUGUGUUUGAUAAGUUUUCUUUUCAUUAGUUAUAUUAAAUUGAUUGGUAAGCUGUACAUUUUUCUUAUGUAUUGAAAAUGGCUUUAAAGUUUACAUGUUUAAUCAGAAGUAGAAUUCUUUUAAUAUUAGAUAUUGGAGACUAAACCUAUCUUCCCCAUAUAUUAAACUUAAACAGUGUCUUAAAUUUGCAAUAUUCUUAUUUUGAAUGUCUUUGAUUAUAGCUUUACCCUUGGACAUCCAAUAUGUUUAUUAUAUUGAGCUCUGUAAAAAAAAAAAGAAGAAAAAUUAAAAAUAACAAAAAAUAAUAUGGAAACAAAAUUGUAAACAGAGUUCUGGAUCAUAAACAUUAAGGGUGGUGUAAAAAUUAGUUAUAUUUUGAAUUCUUAAAUGGCCUUAUAAAAGUUUGAAAUUUUAAAUGGAAGUAGAAUUCUUUCGAUUUUAGAUGUUUUGAGAUUAAACCUAUCAUCUCUGUUUACUGUGUAACAGUGUCUUCAAUUUUGCAAUAUUGUGAUUUUGAAUGUAUCUUUUAACAUUUAAAUUCCAUUCAGUAAUAAAAAAAUAGGUGA
This is a long non-coding RNA of Mytilus trossulus (common blue mussel), 3902 nucleotides long. RefSeq lists it as uncharacterized. The transcript is spliced from 5 exons. The record is from RefSeq and is a predicted model, not a curated record. NCBI's taxonomy places the organism in Eukaryota, Metazoa, Mollusca, Bivalvia, Mytilida, Mytilidae.